CCUACGGGUGGCAGCAGUGGGGGAUAUUGGACAAUGGGGGAAACCCUGAUCCAGCGACGCCGCGUGAGUGAAGAAGUAUUUCGGUAUGUAAAGCUCUAUCAGCAGGGGAGAAAGAAAUGACGGUACCUGAGUAAGAAGCCCCGGCUAACUACGUGCCAGCAGCCGCGGGAAUACGUAGGGGGCAAGCGUUAUCCGGAAUUACUGGGUGUAAAGUGAGCGUAGACGGUAAUGCAAGUCUGGAGUGAAAGGCGGGGGCCCACCCCCCGGACUGCUCUGGAAACUGUGUAACUGGAGUGCAGGAGAGGCAGGCGGAAUUCGUAGUGUAGCGGUGAAAUGCGUAGAUAUUAGGAGGAACACCAGUGGCGAAGGCGGCCUGCUGGACUGUAACUGACGUUGAGGCUCGAAAGCGUGGGGAGCAAACAGGAUUAGAUACCCUUGUAGUC
RNAcentral lists this ribosomal RNA (443 nucleotides) under uncultured bacterium. Its description in RNAcentral is "partial 16S ribosomal RNA". It matches the Rfam family "Bacterial small subunit ribosomal RNA", at positions 338 to 795 of the family's 1533-position model. The record is from RNAcentral.